This 253-nucleotide ribosomal RNA is filed under the name uncultured bacterium. Its description in RNAcentral is "partial 16S ribosomal RNA". It matches the Rfam family "Bacterial small subunit ribosomal RNA", at positions 524 to 776 of the family's 1533-position model. The record is from RNAcentral.
UACGUAGGGGGCUAGCGUUGUCCGGAAUCAUUGGGCGUAAAGCGCGCGUAGGCGGCCAGAUAAGUCCGGUGUGAAAGUCACAGGCUCAACCUGUGAAUGCCGCUGGAAACUGUCUGGCUAGAGUCCGGGAGGGGCGAGUGGAAUUCCUGGUGUAGCGGUGAAAUGCGCAGAUAUCAGGAGGAACACCAAUGGCGAAGGCAGCUCGCUGGAACGGAACUGACGCUGAGGCGCGAAAGCGUGGGGAGCGAACAGG